AGAAAUUCUCCUAGAGAGAAUUCAGUGAGCCACACAUGUAAACACUAAAGUUGUAGCCAUAUUAUUUUAUAUAGUGAAAAGUUACUACUGCUGCUCUCCGAGGACGUAGGCAUAGCCGAACCUCGUUAAAUGCUGUGUCUCAUCUACUUUACGUGCAGCUCAAUAUUCAUACAUAUUUCAGGUCAUUUUAUAACACGUUAUCAGCACGAGAAGCUCUC
RNAcentral lists this long non-coding RNA (218 nucleotides) under Prunus persica (peach). RNAcentral describes it as "long non-coding RNA (PPER_LNC005116)". Lineage: Eukaryota; Viridiplantae; Streptophyta; Magnoliopsida; Rosales; Rosaceae. The record is from RNAcentral.